RNAcentral lists this unclassified non-coding RNA (499 nucleotides) under uncultured Glomeromycotina. RNAcentral describes it as "SSU rRNA". It matches the Rfam family "Eukaryotic small subunit ribosomal RNA", at positions 591 to 1092 of the family's 1831-position model. Lineage: Eukaryota; Fungi; Glomeromycota. The record is from RNAcentral.
CCAAUAGCGUAUAUUUAAGUUGUUGCAGUUAAAAAGCUCGUAGUUGAAUUUCGGGAUCAGUUGAUCGGUCGUGCCUCGGUACGUACUGGUCAAAUUGAUUCCUACCUUCUGACGAACCACGAUGUCAUUAAUUUGGUGUCGUGGGAAAUCAGGACUGUUACUUUGAAAAAAUUAGAGUGUUUAAAGCAGGCUCGCGCUUGAAUACAUUAGCAUGGAAUAAUGAAAUAGGACGUUUGAUUCUAUUUUGUUGGUUUCUAGGAUCGACGUAAUGAUUAAUAGGGAUAGUUGGGGGCAUUAGUAUUCAAUUGUCAGAGGUGAAAUUCUUGGAUUUAUUGAAGACUAACUACUGCGAAAGCAUUUGCCAAGGAUGUUUUCAUUAAUCAAGAACGAAAGUUAGGGGAUCGAAGACGAUCAGAUACCGUCGUAGUCUUAACCAUAAACUAUGCCGACUAGGGAUCGGAUGAUGUUAAUUUUUUAAUGACUCAUUCGGCGCCUUACG